AAUCUAAAUAUUCAAUCAGAUGCAUUCAGAUCAAAAUAAAUCUGAAACCUCUUCUCUUCUACGUUGAUUCGAAAAUUUUAACAUAAACCCUAAAACAUCUUUCCUCUUUCUUCUUUGCGAUUCACGCUAAACUUUCAGUGAGCAACCAAAGAGAUUCCUACAGUUGCUCGCGAUACGUUGCACGGUGGUGCCACCACUGCGCUGGUGGAUUUGGUGCGAUAUCGAAUUUUUUUUGAAACUUGGAGAAAGGCAUUGGUUGCGGUCAUGCUACCUAUGGGAAGCCUGGGGUGAAGGUCCACUAGGGUUUGGUUUACUCUUCAGCUGUCGCAUAACACAGGCUUCACAAUUAUAUUUUAUCUUUGUCAAAAAUCGAACUUGAUCAUUUUCAAAGAACAAAGAAGUUUUUGAGUGAAAGCAUAACAAAGAAGAAUAGUUUGUGCCUUAGAGAACAACGCCAAAAUGUCGGUGCUGAUCGUGACGAGCUUAGGGGACCUUGUGGUCGAUUUGCACACCAACAAAUGCCCCUUGACCUGCAAAAAUUUCUUGAAGCUUUGCAAGAUUAAGUACUAUAAUGGGUGUUUAUUUCACACUGUUCAAAAGGAUUUUACAGCUCAAACUGGCGAUCCAACUGGCACAGGAACUGGUGGUGAUUCUGUUUAUAAGUUUCUUUACGGCGAUCAAGCUCGAUUUUUCAGUGAUGAAAUUCAUAUUGAUCUUAAGCAUUCGAAAACUGGAACGGUUGCCAUGGCAAGUGCUGGGGAGAAUUUAAAUGCUUCACAGUUCUAUAUCACACUGCGAGAUGACCUUGACUACCUCGAUGGCAAGCACACAGUCUUUGGUGAGGUAGCUGAAGGAUUUGAGAUUUUAACUAAAAUAAAUGAGGCUUACGUGGACGACAAAGGAAGACCACUUAAAAAUAUAAGAAUCAAGCACACAUACAUCCUAGUGGAUCCUUACGACGAUCCUUCUGAACUAUCGGAGUUCAUUCCUGAAGCUUCUCCAGAAGGAAAACCUAAAGAUGAGGUUGAUGAUGAAGUACGACUUGAAGAUGAUUGGGUGCCCAUGGAUGAACAAUUAAAUCCAGCAGAACUUGAGGAGGUUAUCAGAUCAAAGGAAGCACAUUCUAGGGCAGUUGUACUUGAGAGUAUUGGGGAUAUUCCUGAUGCUGAGAUUAAACCUCCUGAAAAUGUAUUGUUUGUCUGUAAAUUGAACCCAGUUACUGAGGAUGAGGACUUGAAUACUAUAUUUUCUCGCUUUGGAACUGUAUCAUCGGCAGAAAUCAUCCGUGAUCACAAAACUGGUGACAGUUUAUGCUACGCUUUCAUAGAAUUUGAGGACAUAAGGUCAUGUCAGGAAGCAUAUUUUAAGAUGGAUAAUGCUUUGAUUGAUGAUCGAAGGAUACAUGUGGAUUUUAGUCAAAGUGUGGCAAAAUUGUGGUCCCAAUACAGGCGUAAAGAUCAAAAGGGUAAAGGUGGUGGUUGCUUCAAAUGUGGCUCUACAGAUCAUAUUGCCAAGGACUGCACUGGAGAUGCUACAAUGAAACAACCACAAACAAAAUACAUUUUAAAGGAUGAUAAUACCCAACGUGGUGGAGAUAAUUCGAGAUAUGAAAUGGUUUUUGAUGGAGAUGAUAACCCAGAAAGUCCAAGGCAAGAUGUAAAACACCGAAAGCAUGACAGGGAUGACCCAGUUGAGAAAAAAGUUAGGGAAGAAAAUUUUAAAGAUCAUAGAAGUAGUAGGGAACGGGAUACGGUAAGAGAUAGGUACGGUGAUAGAAGCAGAGAGCAUGGGGGAAAUGGAGAAAACAAAGCACGAUAUGACAGAGGUGCAAGAGAUUUGGAUUCGAAUGCUGACAAGAAAGACAGAGAUAGGCACAAGGGUAGACAUGGAAAUGAUGAUUACAGGUGGAAAGUUGAUCAUGAAUCCAGAAAAGAAGAGGAUGAUGGCUACAAGCGUAAAGAUGAGCGAGACUCUAGAAGAAGAUAUGAAGAUGAUAACUACAAGCGUAAAGAUGAGCGAGGCCCUAGAAGAAGAGAUGAAGAUGAUAGGAGAAACACAGAUUCUAGCCAUUUGGAGAGAAGGAAUGACAGUGGUUAUAGGAAGAGACCUGAAGACAGUGGAAAGCAAGAUGUGAAGAUUGAUUCUGGACGAAGAAAGAGAAGUCCAAGUGAUGAUUACAAAAAUGGAAGGAAAGAUGAAGAUUACAGACAUAGAAAGGAAGAACGAGGGAAUAAAAGGCAAGAUAUUGAAGCUGAUGAGGAUUACAAACGUAGAAGGGAGGACGGAGAUUACAGACAUAGAAGGGAGGAACGUGGACACAAAAGACAAGAUGUUGAAGCUGAUGAUUAUCCUCAUAAGAGGCAUCAUGGUGACAGGAGAUGAUUAUUGGUCUCACUAUAUCCUAAUGCUAAGCACAGAACCUUUGAACGACUAUUAUCAUUACUGGUGUUACAUGGGAUGUAAUAACAAAACAGUUCACGCAUGGAUUGGAGAGGACUGCAGAAAAGCAUGUUGGAGAGGGCUUAUUUAUGUAAUCCGUGAUUUCUGAUCUGAGCUAGGGUUAAAGUCAAAAUUGUUUAUGCAUUCAUUUGUAGAUUACGUCAUUAAAAAUGCACUUAUGAACCAGAAAAUA
Vigna angularis (adzuki bean) is the source of this 2632-nucleotide RNA transcript. It is a transcript of the gene named peptidyl-prolyl cis-trans isomerase CYP59, with no coding region annotated. The record is from RefSeq and is a predicted model, not a curated record. Lineage: Eukaryota; Viridiplantae; Streptophyta; Magnoliopsida; Fabales; Fabaceae. The transcript has 19 exons.